GCAGAGCCUGAAGCCGGUGGUGGUGAAAGUCUAUGAUUACUAUGAGACAGAUGAAUUUGCCAUUGCUGAGUACAGCGCCCCCUGCAGCAAAGCCAAUGUUGAGCAGGAAAAUGCGUGAGUGAUGGAGCUGUAUUCUGGGCCCUGCUGAAUCCUCUCUGCUCCUCUCUGCAUGCAGCAAUUCCCCCAGGCGAAGUGGUU
Malaclemys terrapin pileata is the source of this 198-nucleotide long non-coding RNA. RefSeq lists it as uncharacterized. NCBI's taxonomy places the organism in Eukaryota, Metazoa, Chordata, Testudines, Emydidae. The transcript is spliced from 3 exons. The record is from RefSeq and is a predicted model, not a curated record.